RNAcentral lists this ribosomal RNA (406 nucleotides) under uncultured Gammaproteobacteria bacterium. Its description in RNAcentral is "bacterial SSU rRNA". It matches the Rfam family "Bacterial small subunit ribosomal RNA", at positions 9 to 419 of the family's 1533-position model. The record is from RNAcentral. Lineage: Bacteria; Pseudomonadati; Pseudomonadota; Gammaproteobacteria.
GAGUUUGAUCAUGGCUCAGAUUGAACGCUGGCGGCAGGCCUAACACAUGCAAGUCGAGCGGCAGCGCGGGGCAACCUGGCGGCGAGCGGCGGACGGGUGAGUAACGCGUAGGAAUCUACCCAGUAGCGGGGGAUAGCCCGGGGAAACUCGGAUUAAUACCGCAUACGCCCUAAGGGGGAAAGCAGGGGAUCUUCGGACCUUGCACUAUUGGCAGAGCCUGCGUUGGAUUAGCUAGUUGGUAGGGUAAAGGCCUACCAAGGCGACGAUCCAUAACUGGUCUGAGAGGAUGAUCAGUCACACCGGAACUGAGACACGGUCCGGACUCCUACGGGAGGCAGCAGUGGGGAAUAUUGGACAAUGGGGGCAACCCUGAUCCAGCCAUGCCGCGUGUGUGAAGAAGGCCUUC